GACGAACGCUGGCGGCGUGCUUAACACAUGCCAGUCGAACGGAAAGGCCCUGCUUUUGUGGGGUGCUCGAGUGGCGAACGGGUGAGUAACACGUGGGUAACCUGCCCUUGACUUUGGGAUAACUUCAGGAAACUGGGGCUAAUACCGGAUAGGAGCUCCUGCUGCAUGGUGGGGGUUGGAAAGUUUCGGCGGUUGGGGAUGGACUCGCGGCUUAUCAGCUUGUUGGUGGGGUAGUGGCUUACCAAGGCUUUGACGGGUAGCCGGCCUGAGAGGGUGACCGGCCACAUUGGGACUGAGAUACGGCCCAGACUCCUACGGGAGGCAGCAGUGGGGAAUAUUGCACAAUGGGCGGAAGCCUGAUGCAGCAACGCCGCGUGCGGGAUGACGGCCUUCGGGUUGUAAACCGCUUUCGCCUGCGACGAAGCGUGAGUGACGGUAAUGGGUAAAGAAGCACCGGCUAACUACGUG
This 468-nucleotide ribosomal RNA is filed under the name uncultured bacterium. RNAcentral's name for it is "partial 16S ribosomal RNA". It matches the Rfam family "Bacterial small subunit ribosomal RNA", at positions 28 to 507 of the family's 1533-position model. The record is from RNAcentral.